Molecule: RNA transcript, 1595 nt
Organism: Vigna angularis (adzuki bean)
Lineage: Eukaryota; Viridiplantae; Streptophyta; Magnoliopsida; Fabales; Fabaceae
Exons: 5
Source: RefSeq, a predicted model, not a curated record
GACAAAUGUGGACCCUUGAUAUCUUCAUUUUCGUUUUCAAGGUUCAUCUCCCAAACACAUGCAUGUUCUCUUAAAGAACGUUCUCCAUCCCAUACAAAACCUGCAUUUAAUGCACCCUCUAUUCUACCAUUACAUAUUUGUGAAAACCUUACUCUAUAAGUCUAUUCAUAAGAACCUCACUCUUUCUCUGUUCCUAACUUAGACCCAGCAAACUCAUCUCAGCAUGACUCCUCUUUCUCUUGCCAUGAUCCUUCUCCUUAGUGUUUCUGUGCAUGCAUGCACUGCCCGAUUUCCUAGUCUUUCUAAAAAAGACACCCCUCAUAAGGUCAAAUUAUUGGAGACGUUAACUGCAUCUAGUAGCUUGAAGGAUUACAGGCUACAGGAAAAUCAACAGCAGCAACAGAAACUCGCGAAUAAUGAAUUGAACACUUGUGAGAGUUGUAGCAUGUCAUCCACUUUGAAGGAACCGAUCGUAGAGGCAGCUUCAGGGACAUCUUUUCAAAUGGAUUCGCCAUCCUUUCUCGCAGCAGAGGUGACAUAUUCAACGGAUGUUCUUUCUCCUGUUCUACAAGCCGCAGUGUUGCAUUCUUUCUUGUCAUCUCAGAUUGUGCUAUGAAACAGACUACAACAAAUGCUACUAAUACAAAAAAAUUCCAAACACAGCUUAUAAAUCAAGAUGCACACCAGACCAAUCCAUCUCAAGUUAAGGCAUCUGAACCUGAGGCCAUUGAAAAUCCAAUUAACCAGACAAGUAAAAAUGCUCGAAUCCAACAAAGAAAACCCACGUGACUCUUGAAGGAUUCUGUACAGGGCUUAUAAAUCACAAUGAUGUGCCUUCUAGAGCUAGCAAAUCCACAGCAGAAAAGCCUAGGGAUCCCACAAGAAGGAACACUGAAACAGGUUCAGCUCGUUCAAUCCAGACAGCACAUUUAAAUGAUGACGUAACCAUGACUGAUGUGAGCUUCUAGACAACCACAUCAACCAAAAAAGUAUUAUUAUUGGAAUGGUAUAAAGUUAUAAAUAAUUUUUUUGUGCCGUUGAAGGCAUGGUUUUUAGUUUUGAUCUGCAAGCUGUUGACGUAACCACACUGAAUUUUUGAAGUCUCCACAUUUGUCCACAAUUUCUUGCGAUAUUGCUUACCAUGGUUGAAUAUGUAAUUCUAGCUGUACAAUUUUGGACAGUUAACAGGGGCUUGCUAUGAAAAGAUCUGGAUUAAAGCUAAUGUAGAUGGGUCUUAUAAGCUUCAAGAACAUCUUACUAGCUGUGGUGGAGUUUUCCGUGAUCACACACGUUAAAUCUUGGAACAUUCUGUUUCGGAUCAUCAGAUCCAACGUCUAAUGGCUUUAGUGUGCAAUCUGAACUGUGGGGUGUCCUGACUGCCCUGAAGCUUGCUAAGGAGAAAAGGAUUUCUCAGCUGUGGACUGUGUUCUGAAUAAACGGGCGGAAAAAUAUGAUCUUUAUACUCCUCUUGUUCAGUCGAUACUUGAGUUGAUUGAGGGAAAUUGGAAGGUUCGAAUCUCUCAUUGCUAUCGUGAAGGAAACCAAGUUGCUGACUGGUUGUCAAAAUUUGGGCAUAGUAAGGAGAUAGGUCUCCG